UUAGUAGUGGCGAGCGAACGGGGAUUAGCCCUUAAGCUUCAUUGAUUUUAGCGGAACGCUCUGGAAAGUGCGGCCAUAGUGGGUGAUAGCCCCGUACGCGAAAGGAUCUUUGAAGUGAAAUCGAGUAGGACGGAGCACGAGAAACUUUGUCUGAAUAUGGGGGGACCAUCCUCCAAGGCUAAAUACUCCUGACUGACCGAUAGUGAACCAGUACCGUGAGGGAAAGGCGAAAAGAACCCCGGAGAGGGGAGUGAAAUAGAACCUGAAACCGUGUACGUACAAGCAGUGGGAGCACCUUCGUGGUGUGACUGCGUACCUUUUGUAUAAUGGGUCAGCGACUUAUAUUCAGUGGCAAGCUUAACCGUAUAGGGUAGGCGUAGCGAAAGCGAGUCUUAAUAGGGCGUUUAGUCGCUGGGUAUAGACCCGAAACCGGGCGAUCUAUCCAUGAGCAGGUUGAAGGUUAGGUAACACUGACUGGAGGACCGAACCCACUCCCGUUGAAAAGGUAGGGGAUGACUUGUGGAUCGGAGUGAAAGGCUAAUCAAGCUCGGAGAUAGCUGGUUCUCCUCGAAAGCUAUUUAGGUAGCGCCUCAUGUAUCACUCUGGGGGGUAGAGCACUGUUUCGGCUAGGGGGUCAUCCCGACUUACCAAACCGAUGCAAACUCCGAAUACCCAGAAGUGCCGAGCAUGGGAGACACACGGCGGGUGCUAACGUCCGUCGUGAAGAGGGAAACAACCCAGACCGCCAGCUAAGGUCCCAAAGUUGUGGUUAAGUGGUAAACGAUGUGGGAAGGCUUAGACAGCUAGGAGGUUGGCUUAGAAGCAGCCAUCCUUUAAAGAAAGCGUAAUAGCUCACUAGUCGAGUCGGCCUGCGCGGAAGAUGUAACGGGGCUCAAACCACACACCGAAGCUGCGGGUGUCACGUAAGUGACGCGGUAGAGGAGCGUUCUGUAAGCCUGUGAAGGUGAGUUGAGAAGCUUGCUGGAGGUAUCAGAAGUGCGAAUGCUGACAUGAGUAACGAUAAAGCGGGUGAAAAGCCCGCUCGCCGGAAGACCAAGGGUUCAUGUCCAACGUUAAUCGGGGCAGGGUGAGUCGACCCCUAAGGCGAGGCUGAAAAGCGUAGUCGAUGGGAAACAGGUUAAUAUUCCUGUACUUCUGGUUACUGCGAUGGAGGGACGGAGAAGGCUAGGCCAGCUUGGCGUUGGUUGUCCAAGUUUAAGGUGGUAGGCUGAAAUCUUAGGUAAAUCCGGGGUUUCAAGGCCGAGAGCUGAUGACGAGUCGUCUUUUAGAUGACGAAGUGGUUGAUGCCAUGCUUCCAAGAAAAGCUUCUAAGCUUCAGGUAACCAGGAACCGUACCCCAAACCGACACAGGUGGUCGGGUAGAGAAUACCAAGGCGCUUGAGAGAACUCGGGUGAAGGAACUAGGCAAAAUGGCACCGUAACUUCGGGAGAAGGUGCGCCGGCUAGGGUGAAGGAUUUACUCCGUAAGCUCUGGCUGGUCGAAGAUACCAGGCCGCU
This 1518-nucleotide ribosomal RNA is filed under the name Streptococcus dysgalactiae subsp. dysgalactiae. RNAcentral's name for it is "partial 23S ribosomal RNA". It matches the Rfam family "Bacterial large subunit ribosomal RNA", at positions 240 to 1795 of the family's 2925-position model. Lineage: Bacteria; Bacillati; Bacillota; Bacilli; Lactobacillales; Streptococcaceae. The record is from RNAcentral.